RNAcentral lists this ribosomal RNA (426 nucleotides) under uncultured bacterium. Its description in RNAcentral is "partial 16S ribosomal RNA". It matches the Rfam family "Bacterial small subunit ribosomal RNA", at positions 354 to 796 of the family's 1533-position model. The record is from RNAcentral.
GUGAGGAAUUUUCCGCAAUGGGCGAAAGCCUGACGGAGCAAUGCCGCGUGAAGGAUGAAGGCCUAUGGGUUGUAAACUUCUUUUCUCAGAAAAGAAUUAUGACGGUAUCUGAGGAAUAAGCAUCGGCUAACUCUGUGCCAGCAGCCGCGGUAAGACAGAGGAUGCAAGCGUUAUCCGGAAUGAUUGGGCGUAAAGCGUCUGUAGGUUGUUUAAAAAGUAUUCUGUCAAAGAUUAGGGCUUAACCCUAGAUAGGCAGAAUAAACUUUUAAGCUAGAGUUUGGGAGAGGCAGAGUGAAUUCCCGGUGGAGCGGUGAAAUGCGUAGAUAUCGGGAGGAACACCAAAGGCGAAGGCACUCUGCUGGGCCAAUACUAACACUGAGAGACGAAAGCGAGGGGAGCAAAUGGGAUUAGAUACCCGUGUAGUCC